UACCUAUGCACUUAAUUAAAGCCAAUAUGGAUGAGCAGCUUAAGCAUUGUCAUGAGGCGCCAUUCUACACUCUUGGU
This 77-nucleotide transfer RNA is filed under the name Vibrio paracholerae. The record is from RNAcentral. Lineage: Bacteria; Pseudomonadati; Pseudomonadota; Gammaproteobacteria; Vibrionales; Vibrionaceae.